GAUGAACGCUGGCGGCGUGCCUAAUACAUGCAAGUCGAGCGAACGGACGAGAAGCUUGCUUUUCUGAUGUUAGCGGCGGACGGGUGAGUAACACGUGGAUAACCUACCUAUAAGACUGGGAUAACUUCGGGAAACCGGAGCUAAUACCGGAUAAUAUUUUGAACCGCAUGGUUCAAAAGUGAAAGACGGUCUUGCUGUCACUUAUAGAUGGAUCCGCGCUGCAUUAGCUAGUUGGUAAGGUAACGGCUUACCAAGGCAACGAUGCAUAGCCGACCUGAGAGGGUGAUCGGCCACACUGGAACUGAGACACGGUCCAGACUCCUACGGGAGGCAGCAGUAGGGAAUCUUCCGCAAUGGGCUAAAGCCUGACGGAGCAACGCCGCGUGAGUGAUGAAGGUCUUCGGAUCGUAAAACUCUGUUAUUAGGGAAGAACAUAUGUGUAAGUAACUGUGCACAUCUUGACGGUACCUAAUCAGAAAGCCACGGCUAACUACGUG
RNAcentral lists this ribosomal RNA (497 nucleotides) under uncultured bacterium. RNAcentral describes it as "partial 16S ribosomal RNA". It matches the Rfam family "Bacterial small subunit ribosomal RNA", at positions 28 to 507 of the family's 1533-position model. The record is from RNAcentral.